AAAAGAUAGAAACAAAAUGUAUUCAUAUUGUGGGGCAAUUUGCUCUAAAAUUGAACAAAAAACAUUUUGAUAGUGUUAUCUCCAUUUUCAUAGAAAUACAUGGGGUACGACUAAUAUAUACUCUCAACUGAAGGAAAAAUGGUUAAGUUUUGUUGUGUAUGGGUUUUUCAGUGUGUGUGAGUAUGUGCGUAUAUAAUUCGUCUCACAGUCAGAGUUCAAUCCACUCUGUAAAGGGUCUGUUUUGUUCAGUUCAAUCCAGUUUCACAAACAUAAAAGAAACACAACUCAAGAGUCUGCUCCGGCUGAUCCCCACAAAACAAAACACACCAAAGAUGCUAGAAAAGCAACACAGUACAUAAAAUAAGCACAGCAGAAACAUCAGAUAUGUUGGACCACUGUAUAUAUCUUCAAACGUUACAGUUACAGCUGAAAAUUACAACAGAAAUAAACAAAUUUGCCGAGUUCACAUAUGUCCACAAUUCAUAUCAACUGCCAGCUGUCAACUUGGAAGUGACUGUCAGUGUGACGUCACAAUCUAUUGCUCUAAUCAGUGGCGGAGUAAUUUUUAUAGUGAUGAGGCAUUUUUCAUUUGAGCACAGCUAGGUGUGCUGUCAUGCUGAUUUGAUCAUGUUCUAAAUGUUAAGUUGACCAAUCAGAUUGCUUGGUCAGAACUACCUGUUGUAUAACACCAUGUAUAAAAGCAUUUAUGCAACAAAUCACAUGUUGAUACAAAAAAACAGCUCACGUGAAGAAAAAGCAUACAUUUCGAUUGUCAUAGCUGGUACAGGUGCAAUUAAUAUUACUAAAGAGUGCAUUUAUUGCUUCUCAGUUACACUUUUUCUGCUAUUUUCUGUAUAUUGUAACAGUAUAUUUUUUGAAGCUGUUUCUGUUUAUUAUUUAUUUAUUGCAUCUGUUAUACUGUUUCCAUUUCAGGACUGAUUUUACUUCUCAAUAUUUAAGUGCAUUUUAUAUCUGUGAAUUCAUGUCUGCCAUCAAUGAGUGAAUCUUUUUUUUUUUUUUUCAAUUUGAAAUGGUUAAUACUGUAUCUGAUCUAUUGCUCGUGUUCUAUUCACCUCCAGCAAAAAUGUUCAAAGGAAGAGCUCUCUCCAUGGAUGAUGGCAAAGUCCAAGGUUGUAGAAAGCCUGAGGUUUAGAAGUCUUACACAAAGCCUGAAGUAACAAAUUGUCUGCCUCUCCCUCAAGCAUCUGAGUAGCAAAACCUGGACUUCUUGUUGUAGGUGCAAUCUCAAACUGUAGAGAAGAAAUAGAACUAACAAAUUGGACAUUGCAGCUUGCUUCCCCUAGAGGUUUCCCCCCAUCAGAAGUGGCCUAGCUGUGAUGGAUUGGCAUCCUGAAGUGUCGUUGGGUACUUCGCAGCAGAAGUAAGCUGCUGCCAGUAAGCUGGAUGCCAAUCGCUGUAAAACAAGAAGAACAAGAAGAAGCAUCGUUGACUUCAAAAAUUGUGGCAGAUUCUGCAGCCACAUGUCGCCUCUGACAGAGACCAAAUUACUGACGCAUGGAUGAAGACGUCAUCAACGAGGCCAUUGAAAACACCACUGCUGGGAUUUAUGUUCUUAAAGAUCAUGCUUCAAGUGGCGAACCAGAGGACAUUGGAAUUGUUCUUGAAGGCAUUAAGGUGAUGCAAGAUCUGGAUAAUGUAGCAUUAGCUGUUUGCGAUACUGUUCGGACUGAUGUACGCCCUGCACCUCAGCUACCCUGUUGACCUCUGCUAUACCUUUGAGGUAAUCCAAAAGAUUUUCAUGGAAUUGGAUGGAUGUAAACUUUCUAAAAAAGCACUCACUCAAAAAAGCAGGCUAUUUCAGUGAAAGGGUCAGAGACUGUGCCGUCAGCGGUAAACCACAAGACAUUUAAAUUGUCCUCAAAGGCAUCUUUGGUAUUGCUACAGGAUACCAUUUGGACUGCUUUUUCAUUUUCUCUUGUGAAUCCACUGUUCUAAGUUGACAGUAUUUCCUCUCAUGAAUCCAUUAUGAAAACAGUUUAAAGAGGGUUUGCAACUUGUUUGCUGCUCUGAGUCAACUUUAAAAACUGCUGCAGUAUUUUGUAUUUGCUGCCUUGAAUCCUCUUUGACAACGGCUUAUACAAGGUUUACAUGUAUAUUUGUGUUUAUUCCUCAGGGGAAACAGUUUACGCAGGGUUUUGUUUUGUUUUUUUCAUUUGCAAAUCUACUUUGAAAAUACUGUUUUCAGCAAUGUGAAAAUGGUGUAUGCAGGGUUAACCUUGGGAGUAAACUUUUUAACAAAGCACUAGCUUUAAUUUGCCUUAUUCACUUUGUGCCAUGUUUGGUUUACUUCAGUGAAAUAGUGUUCUUCUUGUUUUGUAUUUGCUCUUGGGAAUGCACUGUUUGUACUAACAGUUCACAUAAUUUGUAUUUGCACUUUUAUACCUACUGUGACAACAGUUUGUUCUAGGCUUAUAAAUGUCUUUGCUGUUCUAAUCCACUCUGAAGAUAUGUUUGAAGUAUGUAUAUGCUUCUAUUGAUACACUGUGAAAAAGGUUAAUGCAAGGUUACGUUAUAUGUAUUGUCAAUCCAUUGCAUUUUAUGCAGAAUUUACAGUAUUUUUGUUGUGAAUCCACUGUGAAAACAGUUAUGUGUGGUCUGCAUUAUUAUGUAUUUGUGUAUUUGUGUCCACUGCUGUUGAUACAGGGUUUACAGUGUCUAGUUUUUGUGUUUUGAUUCCUCUUUGAAAUCAGUUUACAGCAACUCCAUUUUGGGUAAAGUUUUCCUGCAAAGUUUUAAGGCUCAAUGUAACAAAAUUAUAGUACAGAACUCUGA
This is a long non-coding RNA of Thunnus maccoyii (southern bluefin tuna), 2793 nucleotides long. RefSeq lists it as uncharacterized. The transcript is spliced from 5 exons. NCBI's taxonomy places the organism in Eukaryota, Metazoa, Chordata, Actinopteri, Scombriformes, Scombridae. The record is from RefSeq and is a predicted model, not a curated record.